GUUAAGCGACUAAGCGUACACGGUGGAUGCCCUGGCAGUCAGAGGCGAUGAAGGGCGUGCUAAUCUGCGAUAAGCGCCGGUAAGGUGAUAUGAACCGUUAUAACCGGCGAUACCCGAAUGGGGAAACCCAGUGUGAUUCGUCACACUAUCAUUAACUGAAUCCAUAGGUUAAUGAGGCGAACCGGGGGAACUGAAACAUCUAAGUACCCCGAGGAAAAGAAAUCAACCGAGAUUCCCCCAGUAGCGGCGAGCGAACGGGGAGGAGCCCAGAGCCUGAAUCAGCAUGUGUGUUAGUGGAAGCGUCUGGAAAGGCGCGCGAUACAGGGUGACAGCCCCGUACACAAAAGCGCAUGUGCUGUGAGCUCGAUGAGUAGGGCGGGACACGUGGUAUCCUGUCUGAAUAUGGGGGGACCAUCCUCCAAGGCUAAAUACUCCUGACUGACCGAUAGUGAACCAGUACCGUGAGGGAAAGGCGAAAAGAACCCCGGCGAGGGGAGUGAAAAAGAACCUGAAACCGUGUACGUACAAGCAGUGGGAGCACCCUUUUGGGUGUGACUGCGUACCUUUUGUAUAAUGGGUCAGCGACUUAUAUUCUGUAGCAAGGUUAACCGAAUAGGGGAGCCGGAGGGAAACCGAGUCUUAAUUGGGCGUUAAGUUGCAGGGUAUAGACCCGAAACCCGGUGAUCUAGCCAUGGGCAGGUUGAAGGUUGGGUAACA
This 717-nucleotide ribosomal RNA is filed under the name Salmonella enterica subsp. enterica serovar Bareilly. RNAcentral's name for it is "partial 23S ribosomal RNA". It matches the Rfam family "Bacterial large subunit ribosomal RNA", at positions 1 to 761 of the family's 2925-position model. The record is from RNAcentral. Lineage: Bacteria; Pseudomonadati; Pseudomonadota; Gammaproteobacteria; Enterobacterales; Enterobacteriaceae.